Molecule: long non-coding RNA, 285 nt
Filed under: Musa acuminata (dwarf banana)
Lineage: Eukaryota; Viridiplantae; Streptophyta; Magnoliopsida; Zingiberales; Musaceae
Description: long non-coding RNA (MACU_LNC011821)
Source: RNAcentral
AUACACAGGAUUGAAUCUUUUGUGGUGACUUCCCUUUUCAAAUCGAUGAUGUCUUGACCCUCUUAUUAUCACAUUCAGAUUCAUUUCUAAUCUUUUUUUUUUUUUGGUAAACUUGUCCUUUCUAUUCCUAUCCUUGAUCUCUAGAAAUUCUUUUGAUCAUCAGAAUAAUUUCGUGCAUCAAAUAUCUUCUCCAAUCGCAUCAUCUAUUUUUCUGCUACCAAUGUAUUAGGUUCACCACACUUCUACUGCGCUACUCUAAUUUAAUAUCCUCGAUCAACCCUUUUA